This 444-nucleotide ribosomal RNA is filed under the name uncultured bacterium. Its description in RNAcentral is "bacterial SSU rRNA". It matches the Rfam family "Bacterial small subunit ribosomal RNA", at positions 338 to 795 of the family's 1533-position model. The record is from RNAcentral.
CCUANGGGGGGCUGCAGUCGAGAAUCUUCCACAAUGGACGAAAGUCUGAUGGAGCGACGCCGCGUGAAUGAUGAAGCACUUCGGUGCGUAAAGUUCUUUUAUGGAGGAAAAAUUUUAUGAUAUUACUCCAAGAAUAAGGGGUUGCAAAACUCGUGCCAGCAGCAGCGGUAAUACGAGUACCCCAAGCGUUAUCCGGAAUUACUGGGCGUAAAGGGUGCGUAGGAUGCAGUGUUAGUCUUGUUUUAAAGAUCCGGGCUUAACCCGGGGGAUGGACAAGAAACGACACAGCUUAGAGAGUGUGAGAGGUUUAUGGAACUCAUGGUGUAGGGGUGAAAUCCGUUGAUAUCAUGGGGAACACCAAAGGCGAAGGCAAUAAACUGGCACAUUUCUGACUCUGAAGCACGAAAGCGUGGGGAUCAAAAAGGAUUAGAUACCCCUNUANUC